GUGUCAGCGCCGCGGUAAUACGGAGGAUGCGAGCGUUAUCCGGAUUUAUUGGGUUUAAAGGGUGCGUAGGCGGUUUAUUAAGUCAGCGGUGAAAGUUUGAGGCUCAACCUUAAAAUUGCCGUUGAAACUGGUUAACUUGAGUGUAGAUGAAGUAGGCGGAAUUAGUGGUGUAGCGGUGAAAUGCAUAGAUAUCACUAGGAACUCCGAUUGCGAAGGCAGCUUACUAAGGUACAACUGACGCUGAUGCACGAAAGCGUGGGUAUCAAACAGGAUUAGAUACCCUGGUAGUCCACGCAGUAAACGAUGAUUACUAGUUGUUUGCGAUAUGACCGUAAGUAACUAAGCGAAAGCGAUAAGUAAUCCACCUGGGGAGUACGCCGGCAACGGUGAAACUCAAAGGAAUUGACGGGGGCCCGCACAAGCGGAGGAACAUGUGGUUUAAUUCGAUGAUACGCGAGGAACCUUACCCGGGCUUGAAAUGCAGAAGACGAUCCAUGAAAGUAGAUUUCCAGCAAUGGUUUCUGUGUAGGUGCUGCAUGGUUGUCGCCAGCU
This 552-nucleotide ribosomal RNA is filed under the name uncultured Dysgonomonas sp. RNAcentral describes it as "bacterial SSU rRNA". It matches the Rfam family "Bacterial small subunit ribosomal RNA", at positions 505 to 1060 of the family's 1533-position model. Lineage: Bacteria; Pseudomonadati; Bacteroidota; Bacteroidia; Bacteroidales; Dysgonomonadaceae. The record is from RNAcentral.